RNAcentral lists this ribosomal RNA (234 nucleotides) under uncultured Candidatus Saccharibacteria bacterium. RNAcentral describes it as "partial 16S ribosomal RNA". It matches the Rfam family "Bacterial small subunit ribosomal RNA", at positions 584 to 818 of the family's 1533-position model. The record is from RNAcentral. Lineage: Bacteria; Candidatus Saccharimonadota.
AAAGCGAAUAGUGAAAGAUGAUGGCUCAACCAUCAGAACAUUGUUCGAACUCACCGACUCGAGAAUGGUAGAGGUAGCUGGAAUUUCGUGUGUAGGAGUGAAAUCCGUAGAUAUACGAAGGAACACCAAUGGCGUAGGCAGGCUACUGGACCAUUUCUGACGCUGAGGCACGAAAGCGUGGGAGCGAACCGGAUUAGAUACCCGGGUAGUCCACGCCGUAAACGAUGGAUGCUA